UCAGAUAAAAAGUAUCAAAUCCAAACAGAUACCAAUAAAUUUUCGGUUCUAAACCGGUUCUUAUUUUAGAUAAUAGAAUCGAUUCAAAUCCAAAAAAAUCAGAACCGAAACCAUACCGAAAUUUUAAAAAUACCCGAAAUGGAACCAAAAUUUAUUUAUGAUCUUAAUAACCAUUUAAAGGAAAGCAUUAUCCCAUCAAGUAUAAAACAAUCUUUAAUUAUAAAGCAUAUAUAUCAUCCAAAACAUUAUUUUUUCGUCACUGAACCUUUCUAGAAAAUGUCACACUGCCUCAGCCAUAUAUCUUAUGUCUGCUAGCCCAUCUACCAUAGUGUUAAGAAAUAAUCGUGAGAACUACUCACUACUGAGUAGAAAUUAAUGGCUAUUCUCCUACACAUGCAUGUAUAUAUAUGGUUUAAGAAAAAGAUGAAUAUUAACUCAGCAAUAUAUAUUUUUUUACUUAUUUGUGUUGAUGAUAUUUAAAAUUUUUGGUUAGCGCGGCAAAUCUGAAUACUAACGAGGCAAAUUAAAUUUGUUAGCGAGGCAAAUCUAAGCCAGUUAUAAUUUAAUACUAUUUAUUAAACCUAAAAAAACGUGGUAUAUAUAUCCUGUUAGCGAGGCAAAUCUGAAUAUGCAGUGAUAAAGAAAAGCUAAAGCAACAAAAAGAUAAUAGAUAGGUAUUUGAUAUUUCCAUGAAGAGAUCACGAGAAGAAUCUCAAGGUGGCGGCAACCAUAACAGAUUUGUUGAUGAGGUAUAUCGUCUACUUUGCUCAAUUCUCUCUGUUUCUACUCCAUAAUAUGAAGUAUUCCGAAAUUUGUUUUUUUCAAAAUCCCAUCAAUUUAUACCAAAUUGAUAGAACAAAAGCCAAACUCUACAAUUUUUUCUCUGAAAUUAACAAUUCUCAAAUACCACAAGUUAAAGUUUAAUCAUAAUAAUACAAAGUGUAAUAGGUGGGGAUAAGUAUGUGCAUUUUAGAUCGGGUUAUCAAACUCUACUGUACAUGAUAUGAACUAUCCAAAUUUCAUCUAAAUGUAGU
Molecule: small RNA, 1034 nt
Filed under: Arabidopsis thaliana (thale cress)
Lineage: Eukaryota; Viridiplantae; Streptophyta; Magnoliopsida; Brassicales; Brassicaceae
Description: ATSL056600
Source: RNAcentral